GAUGAACGCUGGCGGCGUGCCUAAUACAUGCAAGUCGAGCGAACGGACGAGAAGCUUGCUUCUCUGAUGUUAGCGGCGGACGGGUGAGUAACACGUGGAUAACCUACCUAUAAGACUGGGAUAACUUCGGGAAACCGGAGCUAAUACCGGAUAAUAUUUUGAACCGCAUGGUUCAAAAGUGAAAGACGGUCUUGCUGUCACUUAUAGAUGGAUCCGCGCUGCAUUAGCUAGUUGGUAAGGUAACGGCUUACCAAGGCAACGAUGCAUAGCCGACCUGAGAGGGUGAUCGGCCACACUGGAACUGAGACACGGUCCAGACUCCUACGGGAGGCAGCAGUAGGGAAUCUUCCGCAAUGGGCGAGAGCCUGACGGAGCAACGCCGCGUGAGUGAUGAAGGUCUUCGGAUCGUAAAACUCUGUUAUUAGGGAAGAACAUACGUGUAAGUAACUGUGCACAUCUUGACGGUACCUAAUCAGAAAGCCACGGCUAACUACGUGCCAGCAGCCGCGGUAAUACGUAGGUGGCAAGCGUUAUCCGGAAUUAUUGGGCGUAAAGCGCGCGUAGGCGGUUUUUUAAGUCUGAUGUGAAAGCCCACGGCUCAAUCGUGGAGGGUCAUUGGAAACUGGAAAACUUGAGUGCAGAAGAGGAAAGUGGAAUUCCAUGUGUAGCGGUGAAAUGCGCAGAGAUAUGGAGGAACACCAGUGGCGAAGGCGACUUUCUGGUCUGUAACUGACGCUGAUGUGCGAAAGCGUGGGGAUCAAACAGGAUUAGAUACCCUGGUAGUCCACGCCGUAAACGAUGAGUGCUAAGUGUUAGGGGGUUUCCGCCCCUUAGUGCUGCAGCUAACGCAUUAAGCACUCCGCCUGGGGAGUACGACCGCAAGGUUGAAACUCAAAGGAAUUGACGGGGACCCGCACAAGCGGUGGAGCAUGUGGUUUAAUUCGAAGCAACGCGAAGAACCUUACCAAAUCUUGACAUCCUUUGACAACUCUAGAGAUAGAGCCUUCCCCUUCGGGGGACAAAGUGACAGGUGGUGCAUGGUUGUCGUCAGCUCGUGUCGUGAGAUGUUGGGUUAAGUCCCGCAACGAGCGCAACCCUUAAGCUUAGUUGCCAUCAUUAAGUUGGGCACUCUAAGUUGACUGCCGGUGACAAACCGGAGGAAGGUGGGGAUGACGUCAAAUCAUCAUGCCCCUUAUGAUUUGGGCUACACACGUGCUACAAUGGACAAUACAAAGGGCAGCGAAACCGCGAGGUCAAGCAAAUCCCAUAAAGUUGUUCUCAGUUCGGAUUGUAGUCUGCAACUCGACUACAUGAAGCUGGAAUCGCUAGUAAUCGUAGAUCAGCAUGCUACGGUGAAUACGUUCCCGGGUCU
This 1372-nucleotide ribosomal RNA is filed under the name uncultured bacterium. RNAcentral's name for it is "bacterial SSU rRNA". It matches the Rfam family "Bacterial small subunit ribosomal RNA", at positions 28 to 1381 of the family's 1533-position model. The record is from RNAcentral.